RNAcentral lists this microRNA precursor (115 nucleotides) under Otolemur garnettii (small-eared galago). RNAcentral describes it as "miRNA (ENSOGAG00000028493.1)". The record is from RNAcentral. Lineage: Eukaryota; Metazoa; Chordata; Mammalia; Primates; Galagidae.
UGGCAACAAUGUGUUGACUGUAAUGGAACCUAUUUUGAUUAAUAAUGAUGCGCUGGAGCCUAGUUAUAAUGAUUUAAAAUCCAUGGUCCCAAACUGCAAUUACUUUUGCACCAAC